GCCCAGCUAGCUCGGUUGGAAGAGCAUGGGACUCUUAAUCUCAGGGUCAUGGGUUCAAGCCCCACAUUGGGUG
Transfer RNA from Neotoma lepida (desert woodrat), 73 nucleotides. It matches the Rfam family "tRNA". Rfam says of the family: Transfer RNA (tRNA) molecules are approximately 80 nucleotides in length. NCBI's taxonomy places the organism in Eukaryota, Metazoa, Chordata, Mammalia, Rodentia, Cricetidae. The record is from Rfam.